GAUGAAGAACGUAGCGAAAUGCGAUAAGUAGUGUGAAUUGCAGAAUUCAGUGAAUCAUCGAAUCUUUGAACGCACAUUGCGCCCUUUGGUAUUCCUUAGGGCAUGCCUGUUCGAGCGUCAUUUAAACCUUCAAGCUAAGCUUGGUGUUGGGUGACUGUCCGCCUCACGGCGGACUCGCCUCAAAAUUAUUGGCGGCCGGUACAUUGGCUUCGAGCGCAGCAGAAUCGCGAACUCGGGCCCGUCGUAUUGGCUCCCAGAAGCUAUCUUCACAAUUUUGACCUCGGAUCAGGUAGGGAUACCCGCUGAACUUAAGCAUAUCAAUAAGCGGAGGA
Molecule: unclassified non-coding RNA, 332 nt
Filed under: soil metagenome
Description: partial contains 5.8S ribosomal RNA, internal transcribed spacer 2, and large subunit ribosomal RNA
Rfam family: 5.8S ribosomal RNA (bases 1-120)
Source: RNAcentral